This 204-nucleotide long non-coding RNA is filed under the name Nicotiana benthamiana. Its description in RNAcentral is "long non-coding RNA (NBEN_LNC028947)". Lineage: Eukaryota; Viridiplantae; Streptophyta; Magnoliopsida; Solanales; Solanaceae. The record is from RNAcentral.
AAGACAUUUGAUGAAGGACAAUGUUGCAGAGAAGUAGCAAUGCAAAUACAUGCAAGAAAUAGGAAUUGUAAAAGGUGGAAGGAUGGGCUACAAAUGCUCAACUUCUACCCUUAGUUUUGGUUGAUCAUUAACUACUAGGUAGGAAUGUGUAUAUGACUUGAGUAGUUAGGAUUCAAGUGUAACUAGAAUGAAAGUGUAAAUGAG